GGGCCCGCACAAGCGGUGGAGCAUGUGGUUUAAUUCGAUGAUACGCGAGGAACCUUACCAAGGUUUAAAUGUAGAACGAUCGAUGUGGAAACACAUCUUUCUUCGGACGGUCUACAAGGUGCUGCAUGGUUGUCGUCAGCUCGUGCUGUGAAGUGUCGGGUUAAGUCCCAUAACGAGCGCAACCCCUAUCUUUAGUUGCCAGCGAUUCGGUCGGGGACUCUAAAGAAACUGCCGGCGUAAGCCGCGAGGAAGGUGGGGAUGACGUCAAAUCAUCACGGCCCUUACAUCUUGGGCUACACACGUGCUACAAUGGCGAGGACAACGAGAAGCAAACCGGCGACGGUGAGCAAAUCUAAAAACCUCGUCUCAGUUCGGAUCGGAGUCUGCAACUCGACUCCGUGAAGUUGGAAUCGCUAG
This 417-nucleotide ribosomal RNA is filed under the name uncultured bacterium. RNAcentral describes it as "bacterial SSU rRNA". It matches the Rfam family "Bacterial small subunit ribosomal RNA", at positions 917 to 1338 of the family's 1533-position model. The record is from RNAcentral.